Molecule: transfer RNA, 73 nt
Filed under: Cyanidium caldarium
Lineage: Eukaryota; Rhodophyta; Bangiophyceae; Cyanidiales; Cyanidiaceae
Description: tRNA-Lys
Rfam family: tRNA
About the family: Transfer RNA (tRNA) molecules are approximately 80 nucleotides in length. Their secondary structure includes four short double-helical elements and three loops (D, anti-codon, and T loops).
Source: RNAcentral
AGGUGCAUAGCUUAGUUGGUAAAGCGUUAGACUUUUAAUCUUUUGACCUUGGGUUCGAAUCCCAAUGCACCUA